CCCAGGGCCGGGCUGGGCCACUUGGUGGGGCAGAGCCACCGCCAUGAUGGCACCGGGCAGGGGGCAGCCACAGGACAGGCUGUGCCAGGCCACAUGUGGGCUGUGUGUUGGGCAUGCCUGGAUUACAUGAAACUAGGGUAAAAAGACACAUCAACAGUGUGGUAGCAGGGAUAAGAAACUGCGGACCCAUCCCAUAUGUGUGCCCUGGUGAAGGGAGGGCAGCCUGCAGGCUGCUGGCUCCUGCUUGCACUUAGUGGCCCAGCUUCCGGCUUCACAGUCAAGGCCCAGAUGUUUGAUGUGUGGAGAUUUUUACACAUGGAAGCAACAUUGCUUGAGGUUCUGUGGCACAAGUACAACCAUUUAGCUUUUACCAGUCCAAACUGACUUUGCAGCUCAGAGCCUGGUAUUAGGGUCUUACUUAG
RNAcentral lists this long non-coding RNA (422 nucleotides) under Gallus gallus (chicken). Lineage: Eukaryota; Metazoa; Chordata; Aves; Galliformes; Phasianidae. The record is from RNAcentral.